UGGGGAGUCGUCAAGCGGUAAGACACAGCACUUUGACUGCUGCACCCGUGGGUUCGAAUCCCGCCUCCCCAGCCA
RNAcentral lists this transfer RNA (75 nucleotides) under Oscillospiraceae bacterium. RNAcentral describes it as "tRNA-Gln". It matches the Rfam family "tRNA". Rfam says of the family: Transfer RNA (tRNA) molecules are approximately 80 nucleotides in length. Their secondary structure includes four short double-helical elements and three loops (D, anti-codon, and T loops). Further hydrogen bonds mediate the characteristic L-shaped molecular structure. tRNAs have two regions of fundamental functional importance: the anti-codon, which is responsible for specific mRNA codon recognition, and the 3' end, to which the tRNAs corresponding amino acid is attached (by aminoacyl-tRNA synthetases). tRNAs cope with the degeneracy of the genetic code in two manners: having more than one tRNA (with a specific anti-codon) for a particular amino acid; and 'wobble' base-pairing, i.e. permitting non-standard base-pairing at the 3rd anti-codon position. The record is from RNAcentral. Lineage: Bacteria; Bacillati; Bacillota; Clostridia; Eubacteriales; Oscillospiraceae.